CCUACGGGAGGCAGCAGUGGGGAAUAUUGCACAAUGGAGGAAACCCUGAUGCAGCGACGCCGCGUGAGCGAUGAAGUAUCUCGGUAUGUAAAGCUCUAUCUGCAGGGAAGAAAACGACGGUACCUGACUAAGAAGCCCCGGCUAACGACGUGCCAGCAGCCGCAGUAAUACGGAGGGGGCAAGCGUUAUCCGGAUUUACUGGGCGUAAAGGGAGCGUAGACGGCGGUGCAAGCCAGAUGUGAAAGCCCGGGGCUUAACCCCGGGACUGCAUUUGAAACUGUGCUGCUAGAGUGUCGGAGAGGCAGGCGGAAGUCCUAGUGUAGCGGUGAAAUGCGUAGAUAUUAGGAGGAACACCAGUGGCGAAGGCGGCCUGCUGGACGAUGACUGACGUUGAGGCUCGAAAGCGUGGGGAGCAAACAGGAUUAGAUACCCGAGUAUUC
Molecule: ribosomal RNA, 440 nt
Filed under: uncultured bacterium
Lineage: Bacteria
Description: partial 16S ribosomal RNA
Rfam family: Bacterial small subunit ribosomal RNA
Source: RNAcentral